UGACCUAGCAAGUCUGAAUGCACUUUCUCAUUUUUCUCAUAUUUUCACAUUUAUCUCUCCUUCAUUCAGAAGCAUUUGUCAAUCUGCCUCUAUCCAUGGCAGCCCUUCUUAUUUUAAUGUUCUCACUCUUACCCACAAACUAAAUUUACAUUUCUUGCUGUUAUAAAUUUUAUAUUUUUGUGUGUGGAGAAACAUUCCAUCAAGAAGACUGAAGCCCAGUAAACUCCCAAAGACAAGACUUUCAGAAGGUCUGAAGACAAGUCACAUCAAACCACUGACCUAAGAAAAAUGGAAUUAAUGUUGCAACUGCAUUCUCCUAACUUCUCACUGGACUUGAGAUGGCUGCUUGCUUCACUAUGGGUCCUAAGGUUACACAGGAAGGCUUCUGCCAGACACUUUCUGCCAGGUUUCCAAUGGCAGGUAUGGUCAAGAGAGACACUGGAAGAUGGAAGUUACUUCAGUGUUCCAGUUGCUGGUGUAGCCAGGGCUUCACAGGGGGAAAAGGCACUGCAUCCAA
This 517-nucleotide long non-coding RNA is filed under the name Homo sapiens (human). RNAcentral describes it as "HSALNT0250316". Lineage: Eukaryota; Metazoa; Chordata; Mammalia; Primates; Hominidae. The record is from RNAcentral.